AGCCUGUCCCCUGAGUCACUAGGCUUCCCACCUCAAUUAGUCUGCAUUUGCUCAUUUUCCCACUCUAACAUUUCUUAGUAGUAACCAGCUUCUAUCUUCUCUUUGCUUUACAUGGUCACUCUUCCUUUUGUGAUCAUCCCCCAAAUAUCUCUUAUCUCAGUUGGCACUCACUGCUGUCAUUUAUCCUCUCUAAUCACCUGAACUCCUAGGUGUUGGGUGAACCUGUCCCUUAGGCUACCGUAGCUUGCAGAGACUUGGCUUUCAGCCUUAAGGUUCAACAUGCUGCUGGAGUUCCUUCCAUUGCCUCCAUCUUCCAGGCAGCUGGAAGUGGAAGGAACAAGACAUCUCACCACCAAGCCAGCUUUCUCUAAGCAUAUUUUCCUCAAAUAUAACCUGGUCUGCAGAGGUGCAGCUCUGACUUCAACAUCACCAUUAAUAACUUCAUCACCAAGCAAUUUUACCUUCUUGGAGCUGAAAUGUCAAGCAUCACCACUUGUGUGGAGGGACUUUGUAGAGCUAAAAAGCCUACUGGAGUUGUUUCAGAACAACAAAAAAACCACCCCCCAACAAUUGUUGAAGAGUAUUUCAUUUGUGUAAUAAAAGAGCUGAAAAAAAUAUUCCAAUUGAGCAUUCUCUGGACACCCACAGUCCCUUGGCCCUGAAGAAACAGUUGACCUUACUCUGGGAUGGGGCAUUAACAAAAGACAAAAAUUAAGUCCUGAGAAUCAGAACUAAGAGUCAGAAAUACGCAAGUGGUUGACAUCUUUGUGUCUCAGCUUUCUGACCUAUAUCCUAAACAUGAUGUGUGUGAGACUCUUCAUUUGCUG
This 827-nucleotide long non-coding RNA is filed under the name Homo sapiens (human). RNAcentral describes it as "HSALNT0119226". The record is from RNAcentral. Lineage: Eukaryota; Metazoa; Chordata; Mammalia; Primates; Hominidae.